GCUUUCGCCUUUCGCCGGGCUUGAGAGUUAAUGCUGCUGUAUCCUUCCUUGGAUGUCUGAGGUCUAAUUAUUCACAAUCUAUCAACAUAUUGGUUAUAAUUUAGUGGCUAAUGAUGUAUAAUUUUGUCUGUUACACAACUUUAUUUAACUGUUAUACAACUUUUACCUACAUCAUUCCAUGAAAUUUUUCAAUGGUGGAUUUAAUGUAUCAGUGUUUAUACAACUUUUUGUAUGAUGAUAUUAAAUUUCAUGCCAUGAUUUGAAAACACUUAUUUGUAGAAAAAGAAUUAAUUUUUAAGAAAAUAGAAAUUUGAUCUGAUCAAUUACAUAUUACUCUGAAUUUUGUAUUUUAUUGGCUAUGAUGAGUCAUAGAGAUAGUCAUGCACCACUCUGAUGUUUCCGUGCUGAUAAUUUUCUCAUACCCAUUAUUUUUCUGAGCCA
RNAcentral lists this long non-coding RNA (441 nucleotides) under Medicago truncatula (barrel medic). RNAcentral's name for it is "lncRNA gene37669". The stretch from base 354 to 441 matches the Rfam family "Small nucleolar RNA Z221/R21b". The record is from RNAcentral. Lineage: Eukaryota; Viridiplantae; Streptophyta; Magnoliopsida; Fabales; Fabaceae.